CCUACGGGGGGCAGCAGUGGGGAAUAUUGGGCAAUGGGCGCAAGCCUGACCCAGCAACGCCGCGUGAAGGAAGAAGGCUUUCGGGUUUUAAACUUCUUUUCUCAGGGACGAAGCAAGUGACGGUACCUGAGGAAUAAGCCACGCUAACUACGUGCCAGCAGCCGCGGUAAUACGUAGGUGGCAAGCGUUAUCCGGAUUUACUGGGUGUAAAGGGUGUGUAGGCGGGGACGCAAGUCAGAUGUGAAAACCACGGGCUCAACCUGUGGACUGCAUUUGAAACUGUGUUUCGUGAGUACUGGAGAGGCAGACGGAAGUCGUAGGGUAGCGGUGAAAUGCGUAGAUAGUAGGAGGAACACCAGUGGCGAAGGCGGUCUGCUGGACAGCAACUGACGCUGAGGCGCGAAAGCGUGGGGAGCAAACAGGAUUAGAUACCCUGGUAGUC
RNAcentral lists this ribosomal RNA (442 nucleotides) under uncultured bacterium. Its description in RNAcentral is "partial 16S ribosomal RNA". It matches the Rfam family "Bacterial small subunit ribosomal RNA", at positions 338 to 795 of the family's 1533-position model. The record is from RNAcentral.